Molecule: transfer RNA, 76 nt
Filed under: Podarcis lilfordi (Lilford's wall lizard)
Lineage: Eukaryota; Metazoa; Chordata; Lepidosauria; Squamata; Lacertidae
Description: tRNA.Thr
Source: RNAcentral
GGAGCCAGCGUGGCGUAGUGGUUAAGAGCGGUGGACUCGUAAUCUGGUGAACCGGGUUCGAUUCCCUGCUCCUCCA